GACGAACGCUGGCGGCGUGCCUAAUACAUGCAAGUCGAACGGUCUUUUCUAUGGAAGCUUGCUUCCACUGAGAAGAUAGUGGCGAACGGGUGAGUAACACGUGGGUAACCUGCCCAUAAGAGGGGGAUAACAUCCGGAAACGGGUGCUAAUACCGCAUAGUUUUCUUGAUCGCAUGAUUGAGAAAGGAAAGACGGCCUUUGUGCUGUCGCUUAUGGAUGGACCCGCGGCGUAUUAGUUAGUUGGUGAGGUAACGGCUCACCAAGACGAUGAUACGUAGCCGACCUGAGAGGGUGAUCGGCCACAUUGGGACUGAGACACGGGCCCAAACUCCUACGGGAGGCAGCAGUAGGGAAUCUUCCGCAAUGGACGAAAGUCUGACGGAGCAACGCCGCGUGAGUGAAGAAGGUUUUCGGAUCGUAAAACUCUGUUGUCAGAGAAGAACAAGUUGGAGAGUAACUGCUCCAGCCUUGACGGUAUCUGACCAGAAAGCCACGGCUAACUACGUG
This 507-nucleotide ribosomal RNA is filed under the name uncultured bacterium. RNAcentral's name for it is "bacterial SSU rRNA". It matches the Rfam family "Bacterial small subunit ribosomal RNA", at positions 28 to 507 of the family's 1533-position model. The record is from RNAcentral.